GACGAACGCUGGCGGCGUGCUUAACACAUGCAAGUCGAGCGGUAAGGCCCUUCGGGGUACACGAGCGGCGAACGGGUGAGUCACACGUGAGUAAUCUGCCCAUCACUUCGGGAUAACUCCGGGAAACCGGUGCUAAUACCGAAUAUGACCACUUCAGGCAUCUGAUGGUGGUGGAAAGUUCCGGCGGUGAUGGAUGAGCUCGCGGCCUAUCAGCUUGUUGGUGGGGUAGUGGCCUACCAAGGCUUCGACGGGUAGCCGGCCUGAGAGGGUGACCGGCCACACUGGGACUGAGACACGGCCCAGACUCCUACGGGAGGCAGCAGUGGGGAAUAUUGGACAAUGGGCGAAAGCCUGACCCAGCAACGCCGCGUGAGGGAUGACGGCCUUCGGGUUGUAAACCUCUUUCAGCAGGGACGAAGCGCAAGUGACGGUACCUGCAGAAGAAGCACCGGCCAACUACGUG
RNAcentral lists this ribosomal RNA (463 nucleotides) under uncultured bacterium. RNAcentral describes it as "partial 16S ribosomal RNA". It matches the Rfam family "Bacterial small subunit ribosomal RNA", at positions 28 to 507 of the family's 1533-position model. The record is from RNAcentral.